Molecule: non-coding RNA, 81 nt
Organism: Malus domestica (apple)
Lineage: Eukaryota; Viridiplantae; Streptophyta; Magnoliopsida; Rosales; Rosaceae
Source: RefSeq, marked provisional
UAGCAGUUGAAGCUGCCAGCAUGAUCUAAACUUCCCUCUUGGUCAAGGAAAGAUCAGAUCAUGUGGUAGCUUCACCUGUUG